Molecule: ribosomal RNA, 569 nt
Filed under: Cryptorhynchinae gen. sp. ARC4010
Lineage: Eukaryota; Metazoa; Arthropoda; Insecta; Coleoptera; Curculionidae
Description: SSU rRNA
Rfam family: Eukaryotic small subunit ribosomal RNA
Source: RNAcentral
GCUUGUCUCAAAGAUUAAGCCAUGCAUGUCUCAGUACAAGCCAAAUUAAGGUGAAACCGCGAAAGGCUCAUUAAAUCAGUUAUGGUUCCUUAGAUCGUACCCACAAUUACUUGGAUAACUGUGGUAAUUCUAGAGCUAAUACAUGCAAACAGAGCUCCGACCGGAGACGGAAGGAGUGCUUUUAUUAGAUCAAAACCAAUCGGUGACGGGCUCGUCAUCGUACAACUUGGUGACUCUGAAUAACUUUACGCUGAUCGCACGGUCAUCGCACCGGCGACGCAUCUUUCAAAUGUCUGCCUUAUCAACUGUCGAUGGUAGGUUCUGCGCCUACCAUGGUUGUAACGGGUAACGGGGAAUCAGGGUUCGAUUCCGGAGAGGGAGCCUGAGAAACGGCUACCACAUCCAAGGAAGGCAGCAGGCGCGCAAAUUACCCACUCCCGGCACGGGGAGGUAGUGACGAAAAAUAACGAUACGGGACUCAUCCGAGGCCCCGUAAUCGGAAUGAGUACACUCUAAACCCUUUAACGAGGAUCAAUUGGAGGGCAAGUCUGGUGCCAGCAGCCGCGGUA